UAAUACGUAGGGUGCGAGCGUUGUCCGGAAUUACUGGGCGUAAAGAGCUCGUAGGUGGUUUGUCGCGUUGUUCGUGAAAACUCACAGCUUAACUGUGGGCGUGCGGGCGAUACGGGCAGACUGGAGUACUGCAGGGGAGACUGGAAUUCCUGGUGUAGCGGUGGAAUGCGCAGAUAUCAGGAGGAACACCGGUGGCGAAGGCGGGUCUCUGGGCAGUAACUGACGCUGAGGAGCGAAAGCGUGGGGAGCGAACAGGAUUAGAUACCCUGGUAGUCCACGCCGUAAACGGUGGGUACUAGGUGUGGGUUUCCUUCCUUGGGAUCCGUGCCGUAGCUAACGCAUUAAGUACCCCGCCUGGGGAGUACGGCCGCAAGGCUAAA
This 380-nucleotide ribosomal RNA is filed under the name uncultured bacterium. RNAcentral's name for it is "bacterial SSU rRNA". It matches the Rfam family "Bacterial small subunit ribosomal RNA", at positions 521 to 898 of the family's 1533-position model. The record is from RNAcentral.